RNAcentral lists this ribosomal RNA (492 nucleotides) under uncultured bacterium. Its description in RNAcentral is "partial 16S ribosomal RNA". It matches the Rfam family "Bacterial small subunit ribosomal RNA", at positions 29 to 507 of the family's 1533-position model. The record is from RNAcentral.
AGUGAACGCUGGCGGUAUGCCUAACACAUGCAAGUCGAACGGCAGCACAGUAAGAGCUUGCUCUUACGGUUGGCGAGGGGCGGACGGGUAAGGAAUACAUCAGCAUCUACUUUUUCGGGGGGGAUAACGGAGGGAAACUGACGCUAAUACCGCAUACGACCUACGGGUUAAAUCAGGAGAGAAUCGGACCUUUCGCGAUUGAAUGAGCCGAUGUCGGAUUAGCUAGUUGGCGGGGUAAGGGCCCACCAAGGCGACGAUCCGUAGCCGGUCUGAGAGGAUGAUCAGCCACACUGGAACUGAGACACGGUCCAGACUCCUACGGGAGGCAGCAGUGGGGAAUAUUGGACAAUGGGCGAAAGCCUGAUCCAGCAAUACCGCGUGGGUGAAGAAGGCCUUCGGGUUGUAAAGCCCUUUUGUUGGGAAAGAACAGCAGUAGGUUAAUCCCCCGAUGUUCUGACGGUACCCAAAGAAUAAGCCCCGGCUAACUUCGUG